Long non-coding RNA from Armigeres subalbatus, 2032 nucleotides. RefSeq lists it as uncharacterized. NCBI's taxonomy places the organism in Eukaryota, Metazoa, Arthropoda, Insecta, Diptera, Culicidae. The record is from RefSeq and is a predicted model, not a curated record. The transcript is spliced from 3 exons.
UCAAAUCUAGCCGUACAAUGUUGAAAUUAAAGACGAUUGUUUAGCAUAAGUAAGCAAACGAUCUACGGAUGUUAUCCUCAUAGGCGUUGUGGUUCUCUCAAUUUGUGCUCUUGAAAAAUUACUAGAAAAAGCACGUGGUUUAAAAGAUGGCCGAUUCGUGGCUUUGUUGUAUAAUCACCUUAAUCAAUGAGGUUUAGACCACGUUCAGAUUUGUGAUAUAGCUACUUGAUAUAGAGGAUCUUGACAUGAGACAUCAUACGAAUUAUUUGCAGUGAAAAUUAUAUUUGCGAACGUUGAUGCCAAGCUACUCUAUAUCAAGUGAUAUAGCUUGUAGUCUAGAAGGCACAUUACGGUCUACGAACCGUAUUCAAUAUAAUACAGUCCCGAUUUGCUGAUUGGGCCACAUCCAAUCCUCGACCCAACUAACGAAAUCGGUUUUUUAGUUGGGUCAACUGACAGCCAUUUGAAUACGUGCAUUUCGACUUGAACAACACAAAAAUGAUGCCCAGUGUUUACAUUGCAUUUUGACGUAUAAUUGCUUUUUAGUUGGGUCAUGGCCCAACCAGCGAAUCCCGACUGUGCUAAAAAAAUCUUUACGCCAAAAAUGUAUGAAGAAAAUUGUUUUUCUUAGCUUACACUGAUAAAAAUAUACACGUUUAAUUCAUGUGUUUCGGAAUAUGGAUGAUUUCAAUCGGCUUACACCAUCAACUCUAGUGGAUUUCACAUCGCUGAGAUGUUCUUCCCACACGCAGUUCAAAUGCCAAUGUUUAUGUCGUAUUCCAUACUUGUUACACCACGAAUUGAUGUGCAUACCAAUGGAUACUCAAAACAAAUACAAAUAUGACCCAUGUGUUUCAAAAUGUAUCAAUUUCAAUUCCACCUACACCAUGAAAUCUAAUGCAUUUCAUAUCACUGAGAUGUUCUUCACAAACUCAGUUCAAAUGACAAUGUUUAUAACCAAUUCCAUACUUGAUACACCACGAUCUCAUAUAUUUAUCUAACAAAUGUUAUGAAUUGAUUCAAACAAACUUGAGUAGGCAUUCGAACCAUCUAAUUGUGUCACUCUUUCGAAGAGAAAGCACAUGUUUCGAAUAAACUAACUUGUUUUCAGCUGAUAUUUUGUAGUAAUUUAAUGUUUUGCUAAAUUGUGGUUAAAAACAAAAAAAAAAUUUGAAUUAAGUCGAGACACUGUAGACAACGAAAUACAUAUUGGUUACGGUGGUUGAAUUUGAUGGGUUAGUAUUAAAUUAUAAAUGACAAUAUGUAAAGCCAUUUAACUAAAAAUAUCCAAAUUACAUUCCUUUAAAGAAUAAUAUAGGUACUUGACUCUUUAUGAAAAAGUCUUUAUAUUCAGCAUAUGCCUAUCUGGUAGCCCAUAGGGAGAAAUAUCGGAUUAGAAAAUGUGUUCCUAUUGACAGAGCCCGAGUUCUGCAAGGAGAGUACACCAAUAUCGCAGCAAUCCAACAAAUCACAAUCCAACAAUUUUUAUCAGAGGACUCGACAUCUCGGAACAUCGAACAAUUCAAUGGUCAGAAGCUCUCCGAUACAAUAACCACCAUCUUAUUACCAGAAUGCCUCAUCAAAACGCGUAAUUCCUUCGAAGAGACAUGCAUACCGGCAAGCUGGAAUCAACAUAUCAUGGCCAGCACAUACUUCUUGACGUUGUGGAUGACAAUGGAAUCGGUCGUAAGACAGUAAUGAAGCUUUUUGGUCCACUGAAGAUGAAGACAGCAAGGAUCUGUUCGAGUGUCGGGUGUAAAUACGACAAUGACACCUGCUGCUAUACAACCAAAUGAUUCAACUUUAUUAAUUAGGAACUUUAUUUAGCGAUGUCGAAGACAUUUUAUCUUGCAUUUUAUACAUUUGUACAAAAUUUGUUUUUAUUUCAUUUCAUCCGUCCGGAAUUCGAUUUACGUUAGAGAAUUGAAAACCAAUGAAAGAUUGUUUUUUUAUAUACCUCCACCGUUGAUUCGUUGGAAGUUAUAGCAAAACAAUGCUUUUUGAAUUGGGUUUCGAUCCGAUGACGAAAAUC